Long non-coding RNA from Pezoporus occidentalis (night parrot), 1879 nucleotides. RefSeq lists it as uncharacterized. The record is from RefSeq and is a predicted model, not a curated record. The transcript is spliced from 2 exons. NCBI's taxonomy places the organism in Eukaryota, Metazoa, Chordata, Aves, Psittaciformes, Psittacidae.
GAAUUGUAGAGCUUUUUUCUUUUCAGGUGAAUUCAGACCUCACUGUUUUGAGUCAGAAUGAUCACCACAAGAACAUCUGACACUGAUUGCUGCUGAAGUGCCUGAUUAUGAGAGGGACACAGAAGAGAUCUACUGGAAGCAAGACUGAUGAGAUGGCAGUUAAUUGGAAAAAAGGAGGGAGUUGUGUCAGAUUUUUUAAAAGAUGCCUCUCUUAUCAGAAAGCAGAUAAAUGUACUUCAGAAGGCAAAUAAACUGCAAAUUUCUUGUACAGAAAAAAAUGCAUAUCCAGCUUCCUGCAGACAGAAAUCUGUUUUUUUAAGUAGUUGAGAAGCACAUAUGAAAUCAGCAGUGUGUAAACCCCUUCUUGUUGAGUGCAGUACUUGUGGAGUAUGAGAUACUUCCACGGGCACUAACAUCACCAGUGCUGCGUUUUCCAUGUCUGCAGCUGUCUGCUGCUUACUGCAGGCACAGCCUGAGUUGCCAUUUGUGAGUUGGAGGCCAGUCCUGUCAAAUGCUGAGUUUCUGCUGUGGGAGUCACUGGGUUAGUAUCUGGCUAAGGACUGAUCUGCAGGGACUAGAGCAAGUCUGUUGUUGAAGCUGCCAGUGGGACAUCAAGUGAUGGGACAUCUUUACAGUGAGGGUGGUAAAACACAGGCACAGGUUGCCCAGAGAGGUGGUAGAUGCACCAUCUCUGGAAACAUUCAAGGCCAGGCUGGAUGUGGCUCUGGGCAACCUGAUCUAGUUGAAGAUGUCCCUGCUCAUUGCAGGGUGGUUGGACUAGGUGACCUUUGAAGGCACCUUCCAACCUAAACUAUUCUAUGAUACUAUGAUUGUGAACCUUAUUGAAGAAUGAGAAAUGCAAAAGGCAGCAUUUCAAUACAUGUUUCUAUGAUUGUAGUCUGUUGGGGAGGGAUUGGAUCCAUCUGUCUCAUAGAGGCAGAAGAAUCUUUGGCAGCAGGCUGGCCAAUUUGGUGAGAUGGGCUUUAAACUGAAGGACUUGGGGUGGUGGGGAGAGAGGGAGGGUGUCCAGAGCAUCAAUGCUCACACCGUUGCUUCCUCUUGGGUAAUAGGUCUUGCUAACCCGUGCAGGGAUAGGUGUUACUUGGUUGCCUCUGAAGAUGAGGAUUGUAAGGCUAACUGUAUUAAGGGUGUUUAUGGUGAAUCUUACAGCCUUUCUAAGGAACCUGAUUGUGAAAUUAUAAAUUAAGCACCUGUUGCUUUUAGGAACUGCACAGAAUAUGCCCUGUGCAGCACUUUGAACACAAGCCUGUGCUGUCUGCUAUAACUUUCAGGUGUAUUAGACCGAGAGACCCCUCAACUGUAUUCUGUCAACAUGUGGAGACAAUUAUGCAGCCAAGUAUGCAAUAUUUUUUAAGUGUCCUGUGCCUUACCUAACUUCUCAGCAGUUCUCUCUGUGAAAAGCGCUAUUUUGUAAAAUUAUUCCCAAAGCAAGAUACUUCUUACAGCUUGAUUAAAGAAGGUGGGAAAGGAUGCUAAAUUAGGGACUUCCUCACUGGCUGCCUUGCUUCAGAUACAAUGUGUAUUGUAAUCUCUUUUUGACUGAGGUGCAUUUCCCUCCUGGCCAGCACAACCCUUCUUUAUCACUCUCAGAAUAGUAGAUUCUCUGGAUGAAUUAUGUUAAACCAGUGCCUCUUUGCCUGAGGCAGUUAAAGUUACUGUCAACAUGUUAACCAAGUUAUUGGUCUACUUUUCCACUGAGCCUUUUCAAAGCCACUCAGCUAAGCAGAUGAAUGAGACACCAGCUAUUCAGUUAGUAACUGAACCAAAAUGUCGUUUGUGAUUUUACCAGCAGUUCUUGUGAACAGCAUUAUUUGAUAGUCGCUUGUGUGGAAAGACAUUAAACAGUUCUCAUUCCUCA